This 363-nucleotide ribosomal RNA is filed under the name Maja brachydactyla. RNAcentral describes it as "partial 12S ribosomal RNA". The record is from RNAcentral. Lineage: Eukaryota; Metazoa; Arthropoda; Malacostraca; Decapoda; Majidae.
UACUAUACUAAAUGUAAAAAAAUUUUACUAGAAUAUUAAUAGCUAUGAUCUUUAAGCUUAAAGAAUUUGGCGGUAGCUCAGUCUGGUUAGAGGAACCUGUUUUUGAAUUGAUACACCACAAAACAUCUUACUUAUUUUUAUAAAAUUAAUUUGUAUACCGUCAUUAUUAGAUAAUUUAUUUAAAAAUCAUUAUUAUUUUUUAUAAAAUUACAAAAAUUAGAUCAAGGUGCAGUUAAUAAAUAAGUUGAAAUGGGUUACAAUAAUAUAAAAUUAAAUGGAAAUAUUUGUGAAAUAAAAUAUUGAAGGAGGAUUUAAUUGUAAUAAAAUUUUAAUAAGGUCAAAAGAUAUUAAGCUCUGAGAUAU